This 762-nucleotide ribosomal RNA is filed under the name uncultured Ascomycota. RNAcentral describes it as "LSU rRNA". It matches the Rfam family "Eukaryotic large subunit ribosomal RNA", at positions 463 to 1236 of the family's 3401-position model. The record is from RNAcentral. Lineage: Eukaryota; Fungi; Ascomycota.
CGCUUUUGUGUGGUGCACUUGCCGGGGGUUGGCCCAGCAUCGGUUUUGACGGUGGGAUAAAGGUUCGAGGAAUGUGGCUCCCCGAUUCCGGGGAGUGUUAUAGCCCCGAGCGCAAUGCCACCUGUUGGGACCGAGGACCGCGCUUCCGCUAGGAUGCUGGCGCAAUGGUCUUAAGCGGCCCGUCUUGAAACACGGACCAAGGAGUCUAACAUCUAUGCGAGUGUUCGGGCGGAAAACCCUUGCGCGUAAUGAAAGUGAACGGAGGUGGGAACCCUUUGGGGUGCACCAUCGACCGAUCCUGAUGUCUUCGGAAGGAUUUGAGUAGGAGCAUAGCUGGUGGGACCCGAAAGAUGGUGAACUAUGCCUGAAUAGGGUGAAGCCAGAGGAAACUCUGGUGGAGGCUCGCAGCGGUUCUGACGUGCAAAUCGAUCGUCAAAUUUGGGCAUAGGGGCGAAAGACUAAUCGAACUAUCUAGUAGCUGGUUCCUGCCGAAGUUUCCCUCAGGAUAGCAGUAACGUUUUCAGUUUUAUGAGGUAAAGCGAAUGAUUAGAGGCCUGGGGGUUGAAACAACCUUCACCUAUUCUCAAACUUUAAAUAUGUAAGAAGUCCUUGUUGCUUAGUUGAACGUGGACAUUUGAAUGUAUCGUUACUAGUGGGCCAUUUUUGGUAAGCAGAACUGGCGAUGCGGGAUGAACCGAACGCGGAGUUAAGGUGCCGGAAUGCACGCUCAUCAGACACCACAAAAGGUGUUAGUUCAUCUAG